CAAGAUGGUUGAAAUAAUAAACGAUAAACUGUAAAUUUAUUUAUGAGUUAAUCCUCUCUUGUA
This 63-nucleotide transfer RNA is filed under the name Baicaloclepsis grubei. RNAcentral's name for it is "tRNA-Tyr". The record is from RNAcentral. Lineage: Eukaryota; Metazoa; Annelida; Clitellata; Rhynchobdellida; Glossiphoniidae.